RNAcentral lists this ribosomal RNA (253 nucleotides) under uncultured bacterium. RNAcentral describes it as "partial 16S ribosomal RNA". It matches the Rfam family "Bacterial small subunit ribosomal RNA", at positions 524 to 776 of the family's 1533-position model. The record is from RNAcentral.
UACGUAGGGGGCGAGCGUUGCUCGGAAUUACUGGGCGUAAAGGGUGUGUAGGUGGCUGAGCAAGUCAACGAUGAAAUCCCGAGGCUCAACUUCGGAAUUGUCUUUGAUACUGCUUGGCUUGAGGACAGUUGAGGAGGGCGGAAUUCCCGGUGGAGCGGUGAAAUGCGUAGAUAUCGGGAGGAACACCUGAGGCGAAGGCGGCUCUCUAAACUGCUCCUGACACUGAGACACGAAAGCUAGGGGAGCAAACGGG